This 253-nucleotide ribosomal RNA is filed under the name uncultured bacterium. RNAcentral describes it as "partial 16S ribosomal RNA". It matches the Rfam family "Bacterial small subunit ribosomal RNA", at positions 524 to 776 of the family's 1533-position model. The record is from RNAcentral.
GACAGAGGUGCCGAGCGUUAGGCGGAAUCACUGGGCUUAAAGCGUGUGUAGGCGGACUUCUAAGUCGGGUGUGAAAGCCCUGGGCUCAACCCAGGAAGUGCACUCGAAACUGGCAGGCUAGAGUACUGGAGAGGUUGGUGGAAUUCUCGGUGUAGAGGUGAAAUUCGUAGAUAUCGAGAGGAACACCGGUGGCGAAGGCGGCCAACUGGACAGAUACUGACGCUGAGACACGAAAGCGUGGGGAGCAAACAGG